UACAGAGGGGGCAAGCGUUGUUCGGAUUUACUGGGCGUAAAGGGCGCGUAGGCGGCCACCGCAAGUCGACUGUGAAAUCUCCGGGCUUAACCCGGAAAGGUCAGCCGAUACUGCGGGGCUAGAGUGCAGAAGGGGCAACUGGAAUUCUCGGUGUAGCGGUGAAAUGCGUAGCUAUCGAGAGGAACACCUGCGGCGAAGGCGGGUUGCUGGGCUGACACUGACGCUGAGGCGCGAAAGCUAGGGGAGCGAACGGG
RNAcentral lists this ribosomal RNA (254 nucleotides) under uncultured bacterium. RNAcentral describes it as "partial 16S ribosomal RNA". It matches the Rfam family "Bacterial small subunit ribosomal RNA", at positions 524 to 776 of the family's 1533-position model. The record is from RNAcentral.